CCCUGGGAUUCCCAGGAGUUUCCACUUGGUGAUCAGCACUGAACACGGACCACCAACCAUGGAGUGUGUGCUGAGCUGGGUUUUCCUUGUUACAGUUUUGAAAGGUGUCCAGAGUGAGGUGCAGCUGGUGGAGUCUGGGGGAGGCUUGGUCCAGCCUGGGGGGUCCCUGAGACUCUCCUGUGCGGCCUCUGGAUUCACCUUCAGUAGCUACUACAUGCACUGGGUCUGCCAGGCUCCAGGGAAGGGGCUGGAGCGAGUGGGUUUUAUUAGAAACAAAGCCAAUGGUGGGACAGCAGAAUACGCCGCGUCUGUGAAAGGCCGAUUCACCAUCUCAAGAGAUGAUUCAAAGAACUCACUGUAUCUGGAGAUGAGCAGCCUGAAAACCGAGGACACGGCCGUGUGUUACUGUGCGAGUGACACAGUGAGGGGAGGCCCGUCUGAGCCCGGACACAAACCUCCUGCGGGGGCGCGGGGCCACUGA
Molecule: non-coding RNA, 481 nt
Organism: Cebus imitator (Panamanian white-faced capuchin)
Lineage: Eukaryota; Metazoa; Chordata; Mammalia; Primates; Cebidae
Source: the annotation of a RefSeq genome assembly